AAGACCCUGAUUAUUAUUACAGAGAUUUCUUGUUUGAGUGACCGUUGGAAUGAAACUAAUAUUACGUGAUAUGGUUUCAGAUUCGAGGAGAUUAGGACUUCGGUCGGAACCUCCCGUUGUCCAGUGGCUAUAUAUAUAUGCUCACAUGAUUGAGUAACUUGAGAUAAGACUUUUUACCUCCCGGCAAGAAAGGAAGCUUCUCUCUCUACAAUCCUCUCUAGAAAAAACCCUAGUUUUUCUACGCUUGGGCGGCCGGCGGUUAUAUUUGGUGGAUCUGUGUCUUUGCGCUUCCGUACAGGUCAGAUCUGGCGCGUCGGACUUGGAUCUCCGGAGGAAAAGGGCGGAGGAGUGGAUGUGCGGUUCCUCUGGGCGCGUUGAGUGGCGGGGGUUUGGAUCUGGUGUCAGAUCUGGACUUUGGUUGCGAGAUCUCUCUCUUUUUCUUGCCCUCUCUGCCUGCUCUUCUCGGUUGGGUGAGUGGAUUAGCUUGGCUGAAGGCGUCAUGGAUCCCUUAGAUGGUGGAGCUGCGGUGCUUCUUCCCCUUGUCUCGGUGGUCUCUAACAUCGUGCUUUUGUUUCCAAGUCAGAAUGGUCUACGGCGGGUUCUCCGUCGUGGGGGCGUGUGCGAAUAGCUGAGUUGCUGGUUUUGUCAACCGUGGCUAAUCUCUUUGGUGGCGGCUCGUGCUGAGAUAGUCUCGGGCCCGCUUUGCCUUAAGGGUGGAGGUUGUUGUUUCUGUCUUUCUGAUGCAGGUUCGAUGGCGUGUGGCGGUUUGUGGGUGCUCCUUCUCCAAUAAAGCUCGACCUUCUCAAUGCAGGUGUCCUUGGUCGCGAGUCUAGCGGUUUGUCCAUGAAGGUCGUGGAUUAGAUGGUCUUAGCAAGCUGUUUUUGACAUCCCGAUCAUUAAGAGUUGGUCACCGGGUACGCCAAUUUCUACCGGGUCCAAUCUCUCGGUUUAACUGCGGGUUUGAUUUCUGCGGCAAGCGACUGUUCUGUCUCUGAUGUUUUCUUUUGUGUACUGCUGUUUUGCUUGUAGAUAGGUCCCGUAACAUUAGGUUUGAGUCUGUGUUAGAUUUCAUUUUCUGUACUCUGCUUCUUGUCACCUAUGUUUGUCUGUAAAAAAUUGAAAACUAGUAAUGAAUUUAACAUUUUUACCAAAAAAAAAAAAA
Brassica oleracea var. oleracea is the source of this 1162-nucleotide long non-coding RNA. RefSeq lists it as uncharacterized. The record is from RefSeq and is a predicted model, not a curated record. The transcript has 2 exons. NCBI's taxonomy places the organism in Eukaryota, Viridiplantae, Streptophyta, Magnoliopsida, Brassicales, Brassicaceae.